Long non-coding RNA from Phodopus roborovskii (desert hamster), 236 nucleotides. RefSeq lists it as uncharacterized. The record is from RefSeq and is a predicted model, not a curated record. NCBI's taxonomy places the organism in Eukaryota, Metazoa, Chordata, Mammalia, Rodentia, Cricetidae. The transcript is spliced from 2 exons.
UAGGGAGGCUGAGGACCACUGUGUUACAGGAUCACAGUGUUAGGGAGGCUGAGGACCACUGUGUUACAGGAUCACAGUGUUAGGGAGGCUGAGGACCAUUAUGUUACAGGAUCACAGUGUUAGGGAGGCUGAGGACCACUGUGUUACAGGAUCACAGUGUUAGGGAGGCUGAGGACCACUGUGUUACAGGGUCACAGUGUUAGGGAGGCUGAGGACCACUGUGUUACAGGGUCACA